UCCUAGAAACCUCCAACCCCAGGCAGACUUGUAAAAACCCAAAAAGUCUUUCUGCCACCCGACGGGACAUAACUGUUCAUUUAAUCAAAGCUCCGUCAGAUGAUCAUGUGAAGUGAAGGGCUUUUUGGGUUUGUCGGUGCUUUUUACAAACCUUUAGGUCCUUUACUAGCCAACCAUGUCGGUGUUCUCUCCAAAGUCCUCCUCUUGCUGAAGUUCGGCUUUACGGAGGACGGGGCAACCUGACUCUUGGUGAUUUUGAUCAUCCCAAGUUUACCAGCUUAACGGGUUGAGGAACUAGCGGGAUGAGUUCACUUGAAGUCUCUGACCUGAAAUGUUCUAAAGGCUUUGAACUGAAGUGUAAAUGUGGGCUGACGGCAGAACGAAGAGUAUCAAGAACACGUGCAAACCUGUUUAGGUUGUUCUAUAAUUGUCCUAAGAGUGAUUUUGCUGAUCAAUGUGAGUUCUUUGAGUGGGCUGAUGAUCUCUCCC
This is a non-coding RNA of Coffea arabica (coffee), 489 nucleotides long. The record is from RefSeq and is a predicted model, not a curated record. NCBI's taxonomy places the organism in Eukaryota, Viridiplantae, Streptophyta, Magnoliopsida, Gentianales, Rubiaceae.